GGCGGCCUACACAUGCAAGUCGAACGCACCGCCAGGUGAGUGGCGCACGGGUGGAGUAACACGUGGGAACGUACCUCGAAGUACGGGAUAACUGUUGGAAACGACAGCUAAUACCGUAUACGCCCUUUUGGGGAAAGAUUUAUCGCUUCGAGAUCGGCCCGCGUCCGAUUAGCUUGUUGGUGAGGUAACGGCUCACCAAGGCUACGAUCGGUAGCUGGUCUGAGAGGAUGAUCAGCCACACUGGGACUGAGACACGGCCCAGACUCCUACUGGAGGCAGCAGUGGGGAAUAUUGCGCAAUGGGGGGAACCUGACGCAGCCAUGCCGCGUGAGUGAUGAAGGCCUUCUGGUUGUCAAGCUCUUUCAGAUGUGACAAUGAUGACGGUAACAUCAUCAACAAGCCUCGGCUAACUUCGUGGCAGCCGCAGCGGUAAUACGAAGGGGGGCAAGCGUUGUUCAGGAAUUACUGGACGUAAAGAGCGCGUACGCGGCCAGAUCAGUCGAUGCGUGAAAUCCCGCGGAAUCUACUCCAGGUACUGCCCUUGAUACUCUCGGCCUAGAAUCCGUGAUAAAUCGUGGAUUCCCAGUGCAAAGGUGAAAUUCAUAGUUUUCCUAGGACACCUUGGGCAAGGCGCCACUGGUGCGCCUUGACUCUCAGGCUCUCAGCGGAGGAGCGAACCGAUUAAAUACCUGGCCCCCACGCGGUAACCAAUGAGAGAAGGUGUCGGGUCUCGAUUUCUGGGCCGAAACU
RNAcentral lists this ribosomal RNA (750 nucleotides) under Rhodospirillum rubrum. Its description in RNAcentral is "bacterial SSU rRNA". It matches the Rfam family "Bacterial small subunit ribosomal RNA", at positions 41 to 848 of the family's 1533-position model. Lineage: Bacteria; Pseudomonadati; Pseudomonadota; Alphaproteobacteria; Rhodospirillales; Rhodospirillaceae. The record is from RNAcentral.